CAUAUAUAUAUACACACAUAUAUAUACACAUAUGUACAUGUAUAUAUGUAUGUGUGUAUAUAUACACAUAUAUACAUAUACAUGUAUAUAUGUGUAUAUAUACACACAUACAUAUAUACAUACACAUGUAUAUAUGUGUACAUAUACUCACAUACAUAUAUACAUACACAUGUAUAUGUGUGUGUACACACACAUAUAUACAUACACAUGUAUAUGUGUGUGUACACACACAUAUAUACAUACACAUGUAUAUGUGUGUGUACACACGCAUACAUACACAUGUAUAUGUGUGUGUGUACACACGCAUAUAUACAUACACAUGUAUAUGUGUGUGUACACACGCAUAUAUACAUACACAUGUAUAUGUGUGUGUACACACGCAUAUAUACAUACACAUGUAUAUGUGUGUGUACACACGCAUAUAUACAUACACAUGUAUAUGUGUGUGUGUACACACGCAUAUAUACAUACACAUGUAUAUGUGUGUGUGUACACACGCAUAUAUACAUACACAUGUAUAUGUGUGUGUGUACACACGCAUAUAUACAUACACAUGUAUAUGUGUGUGUACACACGCAUAUAUACAUACACAUGUAUAUGUGUGUGUGUACACACGCAUAUAUACAUACACAUGUAUAUGUGUGUGUGUACACACGCAUAUAUACAUACACAUGUAUAUGUGUGUGUGUACACACGCAUAUAUACAUACACAUGUAUAUGUGUGUGUGUACACACGCAUAUAUACAUACACAUGUAUAUGUGUGUGUGUGUACACACGCAUAUAUACAUACACAAGUAUAUGUGUGUGUGUGUACACACGCAUAUAUACAUACACAUGUAUAUGUGUGUGUGUACACCUACACAUAUAUGUAUACAUUGUGGUGCAGGGGUACAAUCAUAGCUCAUUGCACCCUUGAACUUCGGGGCUUAAGUGAUCCUGCUACCUCAGCCUCUUGAGCAGCUGGGGCAACAGGCAUGUGACACCACACCAAUAUUUUUUUUUGUUGUUUUUGAGACACGGUCUCACUCUGUCACUUAGGUUGGAGUGCAGUGGCACAAUCUCAGCUCACUGCAACCUCUGACUCCUAGGUUCAAGCAAUUCUCGUGCCUCAGCCUCCCAAGUAGCUGGGAUUAUAGACAUGUGCCACUAUGCCCAGCUAAGUUUUGUAUUUUUAGUUGAGAUAGAGUUGUGUCGUGUUGGCCAGGCUGGUUUCGAAUCCCUGGGCUGAAGUGAUCCACUUGCCUUGGCCUCCCAAAGUGCUGGGAUUACAUGUGUGAGCCACCGCGCCUAGCCCUAAUUUUUUUUUUUUUUUUAAUAUUUGUAGAGAUGAGGUCUCGCUAAUUUGCCCAGGCUGGUCCUGAACUCUUGGGUUCAAGUAAUUCUCCUGCCUCAGCCUCUCAAAGUGCUGGGAUUACAGGCAUGAGACACCGUUCCCGGCUGGUGGGAGCCAUGAUCUGUCACCCAGGCUGGAGUGCAAUGGUGUGAUCUCAGCUAGCUGAAACCUCUGCCUUCUGGAUUAAACCAAUUCUCCUGCCUCAGCCUCCUGGGUAGCUGGGAUUACAGGUGUAUACCACAACGCCCGGCUAAUUUUUUGUAUUUUUAAUAGAGACAGUGUUUCACCAUGUUGGCCAGGCUGGUCUCGAACUCCUGACCUCGUGAUCUGCCCUCUUUGGCCUCCCAAAGUCCUGGGAUUACAGGCAUGAGCCACCAUACCCAGCCACUCUUGAUUAACUUAAUGGAAAUAUUUACAGAGAUUCUUUCUCUUCUGGGUUCUAACGUCUUAUCUGUAACCUCUGCAGGUAAUACAUUUUCCUUCCUGAUGAUAGCAUUUCUAUGGUUGCUUUCACUUGCAAAUCCUCUAAUGCUUAUUUAUUCCAUUUCUGAUUGGCAUUAGACAUAAUUCUCAAUUUUUAGUGACAGCACUUCUUUUAACUUACAUAUAAAUCGACUUUGUCUUGAAAUGUGACAUUGACUAGAAGGAUGAAACUUCUAACAUGCUGUAGAACAUAGUUUGACUGGCUAAUUUAUUAUUUAGAAGAAGCUAAUAUUGCCAUUAUGAGGGACUUAGGUGACUCUGAAGAACCAGUUUCAUUUGUAAUAUUUGCAAUGUUAAAUCACAGACAUUGCCAACGUGAAAUAGUUUCCAUAUGCUGUGUUCUCAAUACACACCUUUUCCAAAGAUAUCCCAAGCUGUAGUCUUAGAAGACUGUGAUUUUUCUUAUUUGUUCUCACAGGAAUUUGGGGAGCUAUGCUGGAUCUCCAUAAAAUGAGCUCCAGAAAGACACGUGUGCACACACACACACUCACACAUGUACCACACCGCACUUGACUCUGUUUAUUUGGGACCCAUGAUUAUCAGAAGUGCUAUUUUUAACAAAUACUUCUGAGAAAUAAUCUGAACACUUAAUUGGAUGCAAAAGAGUGGCUAUUUACUAUUCUACCCUUUAAUUAGCAUAAUCAGUGUUUCCAGCAGCAAAGGCAAUUGGAAAAUCGCUUGUUUUGUUAGGUUCAUUAUUCUCCCUUAGCAUAGUGUGGCAUCAGCAUGGCUAUUAUUCUUAAAUUGCCUCUUUAAAACAAGAGCUGGUGCUUCUUACAGGCAAUUCCUAACUCUUGGGUUUUGUAGAGGGUCCAAAACUCUUUAGAACCUAUAAUUCAAGGAAAGGCUCCACUUUGGUUUUACAUUUUGUCUGGUCUCUUUGGGUGACAGAAUUUAUGUCACAAGGUGCACAUGUUUUGGGGAGGCUCAUGGACAGCCCAUCGCUCUUGUGCUUUGGUAGGAAAUAUGUGCAGUUAUGGGGAAGGAGUUAGUUACUCAUCUAGGGAACAAUUGGGUAGAAAGAGAUGGACUCCCUGUAUUUGAAAUUCAGAACUCAAGCUUGGCUCUAAGUGUUUCCUUGCUUUGCUGUGCUCCACGGGAGUCACUGAGCAGAAGGAAGCGAGUUGCCUGAGAUUCCUCAAAGCCCGCAGCCCUUUUGGAGGUUACAUUGUUAUUCUCAGAGCCUUUAUGAUACAUAAUAAAGACCUAGCUUGGACCAAC
This 3038-nucleotide long non-coding RNA is filed under the name Homo sapiens (human). RNAcentral describes it as "non-protein coding lnc-ZNF705D-7:1". Lineage: Eukaryota; Metazoa; Chordata; Mammalia; Primates; Hominidae. The record is from RNAcentral.